CAGAAAGCGUAGCAAACAGUCUUCAUCUGAACAUCGGUUCGAACACACACGCGUUUUGCAAUUUAGUCACGCCAAAGUCGAUGAAGCUGCGUCGCUACAGUUAAAUAAGAAAUUUUUAACAUUACCGCAAAUUGUUAGUCAAGUAGCAAAAUUUUCGACACACAUACAUGCAUAUCUAGUUUGUUUUUAGCUUUUGCAAAGCUGGUGUAUUUUGCGGUUACGAAUUCUGCUGUCAAUGCUACGCUUCAUUUUGACGGGUUUUCCGCGUUUAGCAAAUCCAUUAUUAUUUUUAUUUUUAUAUUUAUUUUUGGUUUGUUUGUUUCUUUCUGCGUGUUUGCUUUGUUGAUGUCAGUUUUAUUGCAACAGUUUGCUGGAAACUAGUCGGACGUGUUUAUUGUCUGAUUCGAUUCUUUGUCGCAGAGCGGAGAAGCGCCUACAAAGAAGCACACAAAUAUAUGUGCAAUUACAUACAUACAUACAUUCGCUGAAGUGCAAGUCAGCGUGAUUUUGUGUAAUAGAGAGCUCAUAAAUAAAGAAUUAACUUUUGAAGAAAAAAAAAAAUAAUCAAAAAAGAAAAGAAUAAACAGCUUAAGAUUCUUGUGCUUGUAGCGCAUAACAAGUUCCUGAUUCAUUGUUUACGCCAAGUCGAAAGGCCGCCGAAGACGGAGCGAUUUUUUGCUGUUUCAUUUAAUUUUUAUUACUUGAAAAAUUCUUAAACAUUUUUUUAUGAUUUGUGCUGCUGAAUAAGCAGCGAAAAAGUGAUUGUGCAUUUAACAGUGUUGUUAUUGUGUUGCAACUCGAGAACAAGGAAGCCUGAAAAAAAUUGAAAGUUAAACUUGAAACUGAAAUUGAAACUGAAAUUAAAACUGUAUCUUACAGCAGCUGAUAUUUUCCACUUACUACAACCACAGAGAACUUAUAUGGACUUAUGAGUGGUGGCCUAGAUAUCGAUUUAUAGAGACAAACAUUGUUAAAUGAAGCAUCAGGCAUUCAUCCAGUUAGAAGGAAUAUAAAAAUAGUAACAAAACGCCGCCGGCAAUAGCAACGACAAUAGCAGGCAACAGCCGAGGGUGAACAGAAUUCAACUAAAAUUGCAUGAACAGCCAGUGGGCGUACGACGGCGGCGACAAGUCAACGCCAACACACACGCACGCAUUUCUACAAGUGCCAGUGAAUAGAGACAUUUUCACAUACAUAUGCGCCUUUAUGCAUAAAUCAGAAGGGACAAGAGCCAAGUCGCAAUCGCCCCGAGAGAACGAAAACGAAAGCGAAGUCUACAACAACAACAACAAUAGCGAAGCAUCGCAGUAAAGGCUUCCCUUUUUGCGUAGGUUUGCUGUCACUGCUACUAUUUUAAUACUAGCGCAGCAGCAAUAACAACAGCAACAACAACAAAAGCAGUAGCAGAAAUAAUAUCAGUAAUACGCCAUUGCCAUAGCGACAACUAUCACUGCACCAGUGUUGAACUGAAUUGGUCUGCUUAACAUCAAUUGUAACACUUGACGAGACAAUAGACGAACCGGCGGGUGGUGAGUAGAAAGAAGAAAAAGAAGAAGAGGAAAACAACAAGUAGUAAAACAGUGUUGUGAACGAGCCCCUAGCAGCAAGUGCAGUGAAAGAAGUGACAUAAGAGAGAGAGCGGGUGAGAAGGUGAAAAGUGCUGUAGCAGCAAGAGGCAGAAUACCAAAACGAUAGUCAGCAACAUUGCAUGCACAUCAUUUUUGGAGCACAAAGACGUUGCAGCCAUUGAGGGACGUGGAAGCAACCAAAAAGAAUUAUUGCCAACUACACCCAGUGGGAGCACAGCACAGCACCGAGCAGCACAGUGAAUGAAUAGUGGCAGCGUCGACGCUCGCAACCAAGUCUUGUCCCCAAGACCUUACCGAUAUAUACAUAGUAUAUAGCCAUUGUUGCUGUUGUUUGCAUAAGUGAGGCAUAAACAUUGGCGGCCAAGCACUAAACCAGCAACAGAAGUUGUAGUGGUAAAGGCAAAAGCGACGACAAUAACGAAGCGGUAAAAGUGCGAGAUAACAACAAGGGACAAGAUAACCGCUGAGCAAAGAGCCAGCACAUAGACAUACACACAUAUACAUAUAACCCUAGAAGAGGAAGACAUAAGACGGAAAGUAGUAAAAAGUAACGAAAGAGGUAUUGGACUAUUGGACAUGCAACGCCACUGAAGUCGAGUGUAUACACUUGUACGCCAAUCCAAGCCACCCACAUUGCACCACACAGCAAUCCACAAAAAACAGAGAAAAAAGGAGGUAGAAAGGCAAAAAUAAAAAUAAAAACUCAAAAUAGCCAUUCCAGACGAACGCGUGCGCCAGAGUAUACAAAAACGAAGGUCGACGGCGAAGCAGCUGAAGAGCAUUGAACGCUGCGACUACUGGCUGCUGGCUCUGGUUACUGGCUGUUGACAGCAACAAACAUAACAACAUAGUUUCUGGUAGAGUGAAAACAACAACUGUAAGCGACACAGGGGUACGACACCCGCACGCACACACUCACACUUACACACAACAAGAUAACCAAGUACGCGCUACACGCCACGCAUAGUGGCAUAUAGAACGUGUUACGUAUACGACACGACGUACCCACGUCGCACGACGACAAGUGUUGUGCAAGUGAACGAGUUUGCUCCCAUAUUACUGCUCACUGUUGCUUUUGUUUUUCGUUUUUCGUUUUUGAUUUUAUUUGGUGUGGUAGCAUAGAGUGUGACACUUUAAGAGCAAGCGACGACUACUAAUACAACUACAAAUACAGCAACAACAACAACAAUAACAACAGCAGCGCUAGCGUCAAAAGCACGCCGCGCAAAUAAAAAGCAACAAAAAGGCAAAGAGAAAAACUUCAAAAAAUAAAAAAAAACCACCAACAACAACAGUAACAAUCACUUUUAGUCUAGUACCUAGUAACAGUAGCAGCUACAAAACAUGGAUGCCGAAACAGAAGGUUUGCCACCCAACAACACCAUCGUGGAGGUGACAAGCACCGAAACGGAUUUGGCAACCCGACGUCGCCUCUUCAAGACACAGCCGUCGACAUUGGCCUCCCGGCGACAACAGGCGGUGUGUGUGCGAAGGGCGCACAAAAUGUAUGGAAAUAGCAAAAAUCCGAAUGUCGUGUUGGAUGGCCUGAAUAUGACUGUUCCUAAGGGCUG
Molecule: long non-coding RNA, 3160 nt
Organism: Anastrepha obliqua
Lineage: Eukaryota; Metazoa; Arthropoda; Insecta; Diptera; Tephritidae
Exons: 3
Source: RefSeq, a predicted model, not a curated record